Molecule: unclassified non-coding RNA, 148 nt
Organism: Papio anubis (olive baboon)
Lineage: Eukaryota; Metazoa; Chordata; Mammalia; Primates; Cercopithecidae
Rfam family: Metazoan signal recognition particle RNA
About the family: The signal recognition particle (SRP) is a universally conserved ribonucleoprotein. It is involved in the co-translational targeting of proteins to membranes. The eukaryotic SRP consists of a 300-nucleotide 7S RNA and six proteins: SRPs 72, 68, 54, 19, 14, and 9.
Source: Ensembl
GCUGGGCGUGGUGGCGUGUGCCUGUAGUCCCAGCUACUUGGGAGGCUGAGGCAGGAGAAUCGCUUGAACCCGGGAGGCAGAGGCUGCAGUGAGCCGAUAUCAUGCCACUGCACUCCAGCCUGGGUAACAGAGCGAGACUCUGUCUCAA